Non-coding RNA from Myodes glareolus (Bank vole), 3721 nucleotides. Lineage: Eukaryota; Metazoa; Chordata; Mammalia; Rodentia; Cricetidae. The record is from RefSeq and is a predicted model, not a curated record.
CCCCUUCUCUUUCUUUCUUUGUCACUGAACCUGAAGCUCCUGUCAGUGGGUUAGGAUGGCUGGACAGUGAGUUCCAGCAAUCGCACUCUGGGCCUGGCUUUUCCAUGGAUGCUAAGGAUCUUAGUCAGGUCCAACGUGAGGAUGUGGUAUACCAGGCACCGUAUCCAGCGAGCCAUCUGCAUGGCCCAAGAGCUUACCUUUCAUUGCAUCAUGCUACUUGAAAACACACAUGUUAUAUCUUUGGAGGCAAAGGGAGAGAUGACUUUGCGAAACAGGCAAAAGGGCGGGAAAACAGCCCGCCCAGAAGACAUUUUAGAUAAUUCCAGAAAAGAACCACCUACUUUCAUGCAAGGGUAGGCACACGGAGCACCAGAGUGACAUCCUGCGGGGCUUCCUGAAGACGGAAGAGAUGGAAUCACUCCUGAGGACUUCUAACCCCUGAACACCCUCCAGGGGUUGACAGUAUCCUAUGGGGAUCUGGGGAGUGGCUUGCCGAGUAAAGGACCGGCCGUGCAAACAUCAGCACCCAAGAUUGAGCCCACAAACCAGCAUUAAGAAGCGCCUGCCUGACAGACCAGUUCCCACCGGAUUUUGCUCUAACUCUGCAAGCCUGACCUUGACACCUUGACCUGACCCAUUCUUCUGAGCUGUUUGUACAUUCCCAGCAUCUUGGCUCCUUUCCUCCUAAGACCUGGACUGAGGCUGACCCAGGUCCUGCUCCUUCAGGGUGAACAACGAAAAGCUCAGAAAGAAUGUGGUCCUGGUGUGCUGAUGAUGGCUUUAGGGACAGAACUGAGCAGCUGCGGACUACGGCGGACCAGUGUGGCCCUUGGACGAAUGGAAAACUUUCAAGCCAGCAUUUCAAAUCAGACUUGUUACUGGAACAGGUGAAUACGUGAUCUUUUCCAGUGACAAGCAGGGGAUAACUCCAUUUUUUUGAUCCCUGCCUCCUCCACAGGCUGGACUAGAAUUUCUUCUAUGUAGCUGAACUUGAACUUGGGGCUGCUUCCCAGGUGCUCAGAUUACAAGUGUGUGCCACCAUGCUGGUUUACGGGGUGCUGGGGAAUGGAAUCCACACUAUACGCACGUCAGGCAAGCAUCUCCCAACUGAAAUACAUUCCUAGCUGCCAGCAAGGAUUCUUUUAAAACAUUUUUUUUUUAGCUAUGCAAAGAGGUUUUGAUUUUAUGUAAAGCUCCUGCGUUGGGGAGCAUUCCUGAGGCAGGUCACGUGGAGGUGAGACUUCCAUGGAGGUGUUUGACACCUUCCGCAGGGACCCUGGGCUGUGUGAGUGGGGACAGGGCCUGAGCAGCAGUAUGGAAGCAUCCUUUCUUCUCCUCUGAGUUGUGAUGUAACCAGAUGCUCCAAGUUCCUUAUCCUUGACGUUCCUGACAUCAUGGACGAUAACUCAGAGCCGUAAGCCCAAAUAGACCCUUGGGUUUACCUGGAAGCUGCUUUGCCAGAGUAUUUUGUCAUAGAAACCACAGAAGAAAUAAAGACGGGGCCGUUUUGGGGUAUGAGGUUCACUGUCAUGGUCUCACAGCGCUUCGGUUCAGGCAACCCCCAACAAAAGCUGGCACUGAUGAUGUCACCGAUGUCACUGAUGGCAGUUGGACAGAACAAGGGAAGCUGUGAAGGGCUUCCUUCAAGAUCCUGGCUUCAUAAGUGAAUAAAAGUGACCGUAUGCUGAGGCGGCCACAACCUGCAGUAAGAAUGAAGCCCCUCUCUACCUGAGAAACUGCAAAAGAGAAAGAAAGCUGCCAGUUUGACUGUCAUGCCUCAAGCUGCCAAAAAUUACAUCUGUGAGUGCUUAAUAAGUGCUUCAGAGAGAAGGACAUUAAAUUGCUCAAGGAAGGCAUGAAUAGCAAAUGCUUUCUGAUUGACAGCAAUGUGUUAUUCCAGAAAGUAUUAAGUAUAGAUGAAGACUUGAGCAAGGGAGCCCUUGAAAUGAGUGACAUCGUGGUACUUACUACAAUAGGAGAUGAUUAUAUAGAUCCAGAAAUGAGUUUGAACCAAAAAAAAUGUAAAAAAAUUUAUUGGAGAGGGCUGGGGAUAUAGCUGCAAUGCUUGCCUGUCCCCAGGUUUCACCCUCAGCAUCAUGUAAACGGGGUAUGGUGCUCAUGUCUGUCAUUCCAGCACUCUGGAGGAAGAGACGGGAGGAUCAGGACUUUGAGGUCCUUCCUGGGUAUACAGCAAGUUCAAAGUCAGCCUGGGUUGUAUGACAUUAUUUAUGUAUCUAUCUCCAUGUCUGUCUGUCUAGUUACCUGUCUACAUACGUGUUUAUAUCACCGGAGACAGUAUCUUCCCAUGAAGAUGCUGUUGUCUUACUCUGGCAAGGCUGAAGAAGCUGAUGGACAGAGAGGAUAAAGUCUUCAAUUGCAAUGAAACUAGACUUUCCUGGAAGGUGUCCAGUAGGAUCUGCCUCAUGGAAGUACAAAGGAGGAACCAAGGCUAAAACAAGGGAAAAACAGAUCAACUUCAGCUGCGUGUGGCAAAACUGAAGUCAGGGUACACAGAGCAAAGAACCCAUGAGGUCUCAGAAAUAAAACUAACAAUUAACCUUGAACCUUGUGGUAUAUAUCUUCAUCCCAGCACUUGAGCGGUAGAAGCAGCAGGAUCAGGGGUUCAAGGUCAUCUUCGAACACAUAGGGAAUUGAAGACCAGUCUGGGCUACACAACCCUAGUCACCAAACAAUAACAAUGAUGGAAGCCAUAGAAAGACAUUGAUAGGAGGGGGGCUGGGGAUGAGAGUAAUAAGAAAGCAUUCUAUACAGUCUGAACACCACGAUUGGCUAAUUUACAAACUUUAUGGUGUCUAUGUGCAAGAAAAUACCGUUAGGUUUUGGUAUUGUCCACCAUUUUAGGCAUCCAUUGUGGGGAUCUUUGGAAUACCUUCCAUGGAUAGAGGAGAACAUUAUCAGAGAAACGCCCCAGUGUUUUGCUCCUAAGUGAACACUCUUCUCAAACAUCUUUUACAUCCCAGCUCCUGGUGCUUUAUGUGAAAGAGAAAAGUGUGCAUUAAAAUCUCUUAUUUUCACAACAUUUUAAACAGAUUUAACAUUCACGAUGAAUUCUGGGUAGUUGUCCGUGCAAAGAAUGUCAGUCUUUGGUCCUUAAGUCCUUUGGGUCUGGGUCUCCGAUCUGAAAGAGGCUAUUUGGACAACUCAGCUUUCCAGAUUGUCUGCUUAUGCUUGUUAAGAUCUAACUGAGAAAGGAUUAAAAUUGGAGAUCAAAUGGCAAGGUGCUCCUGUCCCAGGCCUAUGAAGGAGUUUACACAUGCUCAGGGUAUUAGAUAUGACUGACAGGUGUGUGUGUGUGUAUGUGUGUGUGUGUGUGUGUGUGUGUAGCUCAAAUGCCUUGUUCUGUUUCCCAGUCACAAAGACCCCUUUGAAAUCCAAGAAGGGAUUGAAGAGAGAAUCAGGCAGUAAAUGGCCGUGAGCAUUUUUUUUUAAUGGGUUAAAGCUUUAAUUGAUGUGGAGUAUAGGAGCGGUUUAGGUGUUCCAAGUAGGCUUUUCAACUUGUCUUCUAAAUUUAGCUGCCUGAGGAGAGACAUUAAUCUUUGUAGGUAUAUUAUUUUCCCCCUGUAUCCUCUGAUCUGAUUUUGGCUAUUAUUUAAACUUGCUUAAAUACAUUUAUUUUUAUGUAAUACCUAUAUAUGUAUUUUGGAAAAUGUAUAUAUUUUAUAUAAUUGGAUAAUAUUAAAGCAAGCUGGCUAUAAUUAAA